Molecule: unclassified non-coding RNA, 403 nt
Filed under: Hevea brasiliensis (rubber tree)
Lineage: Eukaryota; Viridiplantae; Streptophyta; Magnoliopsida; Malpighiales; Euphorbiaceae
Source: RNAcentral
UGGAUCAAAAUAACAAGUGUCUCUCAAUGCCUGAUGGGGUAUUAAUGGAUUCUGGAUUCGGAUAUCAUUAUGAUCCUGCUACUGCCCUCCUGUUUGAAGACAAUGCUGGUGAAGUUGCUUCAACUUGCUGCCCAAAUUUAGCUGGUUUUGGGUAUGCUGACAUUAAGGAUCAACAAGGAUAUAACCAAAAUGCUAUUAACCAAUAUUGACAAAGAGAAAGGCUUUUUCCUUUCACAUGUAUAUAUAUGAUUUGGACCUUAAAUAGGCUCUGAUGAUGAUAACAAGCAUCACUCUCAAGUAACUGUAGCUUAGUAGAUUUUAGGCAAAAGCUUUUGUUCUGUGCAUUUGGACAACCCUUUCAGCAAGCUCUAGCUAGCUAAUAGGAACCACCUAUAUAUAUAUA